GACGAACGCUGGCGGCGUGCUUAACACAUGCAAGUCGAACGGAAAGGCCCUGCUUGCAGGGUACUCGAGUGGCGAACGGGUGAGUAACACGUGUGUGAUCUGCCCUGCACUUCGGGAUAAGCCUUGGAAACUGGGUCUAAUACCGGAUAGGAGCCAUUUUUAGUGUGAUGGUUGGAAAGUUUUUUCGGUGUAGGAUGAGCUCGCGGCCGAUCAGCUUGUUGGUGGGGUAAUGGCCUACCAAGGCGGCGACGGGUAGCCGGCCUGAGAGGGUGGACGGCCACAUUGGGACUGGGAUACGGCCCAGACUCCUACGGGAGGCAGCAGUGGGGAAUAGUGAACAAUGGGCGCGAGCCUGAUGCAGCGACGCCGCGUGGGGGAUGGCGGCCUUCGGGUUGUAAACUCCUUUCGCUAGGGACGAAGCUUUUUGUGACGGUACCUAGAGAAGAAGCACCGGCUAACUACGUG
RNAcentral lists this ribosomal RNA (465 nucleotides) under uncultured bacterium. Its description in RNAcentral is "partial 16S ribosomal RNA". It matches the Rfam family "Bacterial small subunit ribosomal RNA", at positions 28 to 507 of the family's 1533-position model. The record is from RNAcentral.